RNAcentral lists this ribosomal RNA (497 nucleotides) under uncultured bacterium. Its description in RNAcentral is "partial 16S ribosomal RNA". It matches the Rfam family "Bacterial small subunit ribosomal RNA", at positions 28 to 507 of the family's 1533-position model. The record is from RNAcentral.
GAUGAACGCUGGCGGCGUGCCUAAUACAUGCGAGUCGAGCGAACGGACGAGAAGCUUGCUUCUCUGAUGUUAGCGGCGGACGGGUGAGUAACACGUGGAUAACCUACCUAUAGGACUGGGAUAACUUCGGGAAACCGUAGCUAAUACCGGAUAAUAUUUUGAACCGCAUGGUUCAAAAGUGAAAGACGGUCUUGCUGUCACUUAUAGAUGGAUCCGCGCUGCAUUAGCUAGUUGGUAAGGUAACGGCUUACCAAGGCAACGAUGCAUAGCCGACCUGAGAGGGUGAUCGGCCACACUGGAACUGAGACACGGACCAGACUCCUACGGGAGGCAGCAGUAGGGAAUCUUCCGCAAUGGGCGAAAGCCUGACGGAGCAACGCCGCGUGAGUGAUGAAGGUCUUCGGAUCGUAAAACUCUGUUAUUAGGGAAGAACAUAUGUGUAAGUAACUGUGCACAUCUUGACGGUACCUAAUCAGAAAGCCACGGCUAACUACGUG